Alosa sapidissima (American shad) is the source of this 256-nucleotide long non-coding RNA. RefSeq lists it as uncharacterized. Lineage: Eukaryota; Metazoa; Chordata; Actinopteri; Clupeiformes; Clupeidae. The transcript is spliced from 3 exons. The record is from RefSeq and is a predicted model, not a curated record.
GUAAAUGGGUGGUUGACGUUUUAGGCAAAAAAAAAGUUUUUGAAAAAAAAUUCAGAUAUUAGGCAUGGAAAUCACUUAGUCCUGUUGUACUGACCCUUCCAUUCCCAAAAAUAUGUAUGGUCUUAGAUUUUGUGUUGAAAUUCAUAUUUAUUCACUAAUUAGUUGUGGUAGUGACUAAAAUUGUCAUAUGGCGUGACAUGAAAGUUAUUGUUUGUAAAAUUAUAAUGGGGUAUUUUUGUGCAUGUUAUGUCAGUGU